Molecule: long non-coding RNA, 886 nt
Organism: Cyanistes caeruleus (blue tit)
Lineage: Eukaryota; Metazoa; Chordata; Aves; Passeriformes; Paridae
Source: RefSeq, a predicted model, not a curated record
CACCCACAUGGAUGGAGUUUUGGGAUCUUGGAGGUGUUUCUGUUUAUUACGGAAGGUUGGACUAGAAAAUCCCUUCCAAACCAUCCCAUGGAACCUCAGACCCUCCAUGACUUUCUGGUGGUGAGGGAUGGGAAGAGAGCCCUUCCCAGGUGUGUUAAAUCAGGAGUGUGGGUGGAUCCAUCCGGGAAAAGGAGAGGAAUGUGGGGAAAUGGCAGCAGCUCUGGAGGCUUUGUCCAUCUGCCUGAGGGAUGGGAAAGUGCAGGGAGUGCCUGAUGUGUCCUCAAUGGGAAUUUCCAGUCUCAGCAUGGAAACACAGAGGAAUUACCCAGCUGGGCCUCCUGGAUGCAGCUCUGGGAAUGGGAUGAUCCUCAUGGGUGUCUGUGUUGUGUCCAGGGAUCCCAGCGAGUCAGGAGUUGGACAAACCCCUCGGGAAUGCGCCCCUGGAUGAAGGAGCACAGGGCCAGAAGGUUCCUUUCCUGGGAGGAGAGGGGAUCUCAGGAACGAUUCUGCCAUGGGCUACAAAACAUCAAAGUCAAUCUUUUUCCUGCUUCUCUCCCAGAAACCAACAGCUCUGAAAUGGAGUCCCUGGAUGCAGAGCUGCCUUCAGGGCAGCACAAGCUUGUUAUAACAGGCUAGAACAAAAUAAAUAUUAUUGGAUUGGAAAAUCCAUUUACUUUUCCCAGCUUAAUGUAAAAAAGGAACAAAUUAAGGGUCAACUCCCAAUGUUCUAAGAACCACUUGUUUCAAAGAACAAACCCCUCCAGCUUGUUCACCUUUAAUCCUCUUUGGAUCAAUCCCUCUCUGCUCUGCAGCUGAGACUUCAAAUUCAGCAAUUUUCCUUUGCUUUCACUGGACAGGGAGCUGGGAUAUUUUUUGACCUGCUGGA